This 412-nucleotide ribosomal RNA is filed under the name uncultured archaeon. RNAcentral's name for it is "bacterial SSU rRNA". It matches the Rfam family "Archaeal small subunit ribosomal RNA", at positions 330 to 745 of the family's 1478-position model. The record is from RNAcentral.
GUGCACCAGGCGCGAAAACUCUACAAUAAGCGAAAGCUUGACAGGGUUAUUCUGAGUGAUUUCCGCUAAGGAAAUCUUUUGGCACCUCUAAAAAAUGGUGCAGAAGUAAGGGGUGGGCAAGUCUGGUGUCAGCCGCCGCGGUAAUACCAGCACCCCGAGUGGUCGGGACGUUUAUUGGGCCUAAAGCAUCCGUAGCCGGUUCUACAAGUCUUCCGUUAAAUCCACCUGCUUAACAGAUGGGCUGCGGAAGAUACUAUAGAGCUAGGAGGCGGGAGAGGCAGGCGGUACUCGAUGGGUAGGGUAAAAUCCGUUGAUCCAUUGAAGACCACAGUGCGAAGGCGGCUUGCCAGAACGCGCUCGACGGUGAGGGAUGAAAGCUGGGGGAGCAAACCGGAUUAGAUACCCGUGUAGU